Triticum aestivum (bread wheat) is the source of this 1965-nucleotide long non-coding RNA. RefSeq lists it as uncharacterized. The record is from RefSeq and is a predicted model, not a curated record. The transcript is spliced from 3 exons. NCBI's taxonomy places the organism in Eukaryota, Viridiplantae, Streptophyta, Magnoliopsida, Poales, Poaceae.
UCUCUCCAUCUCACAUCUGCUCCAUGGCCGCCGCCCUCCUCAAACUUCCUGGCCGGCGCCGGCGCCCUAAAUCGUUCCGGCGCCGCUCGCCCUCCACUCUCCCGACCUCCACUACUGGUCGUCUCUCACCUCCACCACCGCCGCCCGGGUCAACCUGCAUCCGCCACCGACGCCCACCUUUAAUGUCUGUGACUUCCACCGUCGCUUGCCUGCAGCUCCGACCCUUGCUGCAUCCCACCUUCGUCGGACCACUCCGCCCAACACGGCUUCCCUGGACGCGAUGAUUGUACCCCGUGCUCCCUGCUCCAGAUCUGGGUAAGUCUGUUGUUGCACAUCCAGUAAACUGCCUGCUCCUCCUCGUCUGACGUGACAGCAGCGGCCUCCUCCUCUCCGUUUUGUCCAAGCCAGUUGAUCCAUUUUUCUGUGCUUGAAUCUGCCAUAUCAAGGAUCCUUUGUUGAAGCUGCAGCCACACUGGUACAACUUUAUAUAUCGCCUCCCUUCACAAAUAAUUUUGGCAGUAAACGUUCAAUUUUAGAAGCAAGUUAGUCAUAUUUUAGUUAGCAAUAUAAGUAAUUAUUUGCAUAGUUGUGCCACUCUCUUUUAGGUUUUGUUUCUCAUCUUUAGAAGUCUUUGUAGUGGAAGGAAGGGCAAGGCAAAACCUGUCUCAGGUACCUCUCACACUUUGGAAAUAUACAUACUUGCCUUUAUGUGGCAAUUAUCUCUCAAAUUGUUACCUUAUUAUUUGUUGCUGUCCUUAUUUAUUUGGCAAAUUACUUAUUUAUGAUGAGGUAGUGUAAAUUGUUUUGAAACUAUACACCAUCUAUCCCUGAUGCUAACUCAGUCUCUCCUCAUAUGCACAGCGCCACUAAUCCAUUCCUCUAAUCUUCUCCUGAACACAUAUUUGGUCGCAGGUACCUUGUUGUUUGGAACAUGUCAUCCCUUGAGCUCGGCACCUGUUCGCAUAUGCCCUGUUCGAAGAGUGAGUCAGUGCGUGUCCGUGCUCUGUUUUACGCGCGUGUGUGUGUGUGUUUUGGUUCAGGUGCAAGCCCAUGGAUGCUGAAGACUAUGAGGAGUACAUACCUCUUCUUUAUGAAGUUCUCGUAGGUCAGCAACAUGAGGGCAAAAAGGGCAGGACCUCGUUAAGAAUGUCGUCCUAGUGGGCACAAGGUCGAACAUGAAGCUACCAGUGAGUAUUGUUUAAUCCUAUCCAUUAUUUUAUAAAGCACCAAGAUGUAGUAUAACAUCUAAUGAUUGCAUUGCUGCCAUAUGCCAUAUCUAAGAUUUACAAAGAAAAACUAAAUGAACAUCCUUUUUUAGUCCUUGAUUAGCUAAAUUAUCAUCAAGUGGACCAGAUUAUCUUGUGGAGCCACUUUAAAAUAUAAAAUAUAUGUUUCAUGGGGCUGUAGGAUAUAUUGUAUAGAUAUGCUAAAAGAUGAAACUUGAAAGAGUUAAGCGGAUAACAACUCAUAUGGUGAAAGAUGUUGGUCAUCAUCUCCUUCUCUUUCCAAUAUUAUUCCCGUUACUUGUGUACAUGACUUUGCAGGGAACACCGAGUUAUCCUCUGUUAGCUUGGAGGAUGGUGCUAUGGGCGACCACGUCGGCAAUGGCAACAGCGAAGGCAACAAUGAUGUUGAGAACAUGGUGGUAACCUAAGGUGACGUAGAAACUUAUGAAGGUGUAGAUGAUGCUCCAGAUCAUGAACCAGUGGACUUAGAAACAUGAGUCUUAUUGUUUUGGGUGGCGGUGGCAUGUAUGCGUACAACUGACAUGUUACUGCUGUUGAGCAAAUAAAACAACAGCAAUUAAAAUUUUCAGAUGUCAUCUACCAGAUGUUCAAUCAUGCAUGGAUACGUGCUAUGUAUAUACUGGUUUUGGAUGCUUGUACGAAGAUAUGAUGUGGAUUUUCACUUAAUGGGAUCAUACGUGGACCAUUGAUAUGUGCUAAUAAAUUUGUAAUUAUAGAA